GGGACAAUGCUCAUCUCUUCAAAAGCUUCACAUUUCCAGUUGUGAAAAAUUAAGCAAGAUUGGAGAUGGAUUAUCUACCUCCACUUGUCUCAAAAAAUUACAUCUAGGCAAUUGUCCUGAUUUAAGUUCGAUCCCAAAUUUGGAAGGAUUUUCCUCUCUUCAAGAUCUGUCAGUUUGUGGGUGCCUCAAAUUGGAAGUUCUUCCAAUAACUGGAGGAUGUUCAUCUCUUGAAGAGCUGGAGAUUACGAGGUGUCCCUUGUUGAAAAGUGUUCCACUAACGGGACAAUGCUCAUCUCUUCAAAAGCUUCACAUUUGGGAUUGUGAAAAAUUAAGCAAGAUUGGAGAUGGAUUAUCUACCUCCACUUGUCUCAAAAAAUUACAUCUAGGCAAUUGUCCUGAUUUAAGUUCGAUCCCAAAUUUGGAAGGAUUUUCCUCUCUUCAAGAUCUGUCAGUUUGGGGGUGCCUCAAAUUGGAAGUUCUUCCAAUAACGGGACAAUGUUAUUCUCUUGAAAAGCUUCGCAUUUGCGAUUGUGAAAAAUUAAGCAAGAUUGGAGAUGGAUUAUCUACCUCCACUUGUCUCAAAAAAUUAAAUCUAAUCAUUUGUCCUGAUUUAAGUUCGAUCCCAAAUUUGGAAGGAUUUUCCUCUCUUCAAUAUCUGUCAGUUCGAUGUUGCAAGAAAUUGGAAGUUCUUCCAAUAACCGGAGGAUGUUCAUCUCUUGAAAAGCUUCGCAUUUCCAGUUGUGAAAAAUUAAGCAAGAUUGGAGAUGGAUUAUCUACCUCCACUUGUCUCAAAAAAUUAGAUCUAGUAGAUUGUCCUGAUUUAAGUUCGAUCCCAAAUUUGGAAGGAUUUUCCUCUCUUCAAGAUCUGUCAGUUUGGAGGUGCCUCAAAUUGGAAGUUCUUCCAAUAACCGGAGGAUGUUCAUCUCUUGAAGAGCUUUCCAUUUACAGUUGUGAAAAAUUAAGCAAGAUUGGAGAUGGAUUAUCUACCUCCACUUGUCUCAAAAAAUUAAAUCUAGCAGAUUGUCCUGAUUUAAGUUCGAUCCCAAAUUUGGAAGGAUUUUCCUCUCUUCAAUAUCUGUCAGUUCGAAGGUGCGACAAAUUGGAAGUUCUUCCAAUAACAGCACCACUGUCAUCGCUUAAAAAAAUGUUGAUAGGUGAUUGCCCUAAUUUGAGGCCCAUUCCAAGUUUAGAUGGACUCUCUUCUCUCACAGAAUUAGAAAUUGGGAAAGUAGGCGAAGGAUGGAGUCGUCUGCUACCAAAUAUGUUGCAAUCCAACGUUUCCCUUUGCAGUCUAACAAUAUUAAAUAUUCCUGAUCUGAUAUGGAUUCAAGAUGACAGCCUUGGUAGGCUUAACUGCUUGAGAGAAUUAGCUAUCGGUGGUUUCUCAGAAAAGCUACAAGAAUUCCCGGGGUCCAGUUCCAUUCGAUAUCUGAGUGCCUCCCUUCUAGUUCUAAAACUGACUGGUUGGGAAAAGCUAAAGAGUCUUCCUCACCAACUUCAGUUCUUGACUGCCCUCGAAGAAUUGACGAUAGAAGGGUUUCAAGGAGUAGAAGCCUUUCCAGAGUGGUUGGGAAAUCUCUCUUCUCUGAAGCGUCUAUAUUUGAGUGGUUUUGGAAAGCUAAAGAGUCUUCCUCACCAACUUCAUCUCCCCAGUACCCUUGAAGAGUUGACUAUUGACAAUUUUCAUGAAAUAGAAGCCUUGCCAGACUCGUUCAGAAAUCUCUCUUCUCUAGGGUGUCUGAGUAUCCAGUUCUGUGAUAAGCUCAUGUACUUGCCUUCUGUAGAUGUUAUGCGAAGCCUCUCCAAAUUAAUAAGAAUGAACAUUAAAGGGUGUCCUCUAUUAGAGACAAGAUGUGAGCGGGAGAGUGGCCCUGAAUGGUCCAAGAUUUCCCACAUUCCACAUGUAUAUAUUAAUCAUCGGAGGUAAGUUCAGUUACUUGAACCACAACUCUGCAUCUUUUGGCUUUUGAUAUAAAAUAUACUAAUCCUCUCUUGAUACUUUUUAUAGUUAUACCGUUUGUUCUUCUCAUCCUAAGUUACUUGAUUUUGUCUCAUAUAAAUCCUUCUUUUAAAAUUUUUUUGGCUUUUGUGGCAUAAUGUUGCAGGACUAAUUGGGGCAUCAAAUCUGUUAGAAAAUGGACUGCAAAGCAACAAACAAGUUGAUAUGCAACUUGGUUUCAUAAUGAUAGCUAUAAUGCUUUCAUCUUUUGCUUUCAUAAUGAUAGCCAAAUUUGGUGGAGUAGGUAGUAUUUGGUGAUGUAUUUGACUAUAAAUGUAUUGUUUUUCUAGUUGAAUGAAUGAGCUGAAUGAGCUAUCAGCCAUUAGCUCCCUUGCAGCACGUUUGUGAGCAAGUAAAUUGUUUUUGUUUCUUCCUCCUUUGUUCUUUGUCUUGUUUUCUUUCUUUUUGCUGCUGCCAAUGUAGGAUCAACAGUGCAAGCACUUUCGAAUCAAAGGCAUCACCCAGGAAGACUAGAAGAUGAAGAAUGCUGGUCCGUAAUUGAACAACUAGCAUUGACACCCUUUCCAAUGUCUCACGAAUUAGAGCUUAUUGGAAAGGAGAUUGCUAUGCAGUGUCGAGGUCUGCCAUUGUUAGCUAAAGUUAUUGGAGGGACAAUGCGCAAAGAAAGGAGCCACGGCACAUGGUUGGAAAUUCAAGAAAGUGGAGUAUGGGGUUCAGCGGACAGUGAGUCAGUGGAAAGUGUGUUAAAAUUAAGUUUUGAUCGCUUGCCUUCUCCAUCUUUGAAGAAGUGUUUUGCGUACUGUGCCAUGUUUCCGAAAGAUUAUUGCUUUGAAACAGAGGAAUUGAAGCAACUGUGGAUGGCUGAAGGAUUUCUUGGCAGCCCUAUGGCAAUGGUGGAUAUUGGUGACAAAUACUUGAAUGAGUUGUUAUCAAAUUCCUUAUUUCAAGAUGUCGAGAAGGACAAAUUCGGGAAUAUUCUCACAUUCAAGAUGCACGACUCGGUGCAUGAUCUAUCUUUGUCUGUGUCAAAGUUUGAUACUUUGUUUUUUCAAGAGAAAUCCAGUCUCACCUCAAAAGAGUGUUCUCAUAUUCGUCAUCUCAAUGUUGGGUGCGAUGGGGAAUCAUUACCAGAAAUUUUAACAGCGGUUGCUCCGAAAUUAUACUCGUUGUUUUCAGAGAUUGAUGUGUUCAAGAAACUAUCAAAAAGCUUCACAAGAUUAAGAGUCCUAAAGUUUGUUGGCGCUGCUAAUAUUUGUGAGUUGCCAGAUUCCCUUGGAGAAUUGAAGCACUUGAGGUAUUUGGAUGUCUCAAGGACUUCUAUCAAAGCACUGCUGAAGUCCGCAACCAAACUUUACAAUCUGCAAACAUUGAGGCUCUUGGGUUUACUGAGACUCACACUUCCAGAUGGAUUGGAAAUUUUGACAAGCUUGAAGCACUUGUAUUUUGAUAAAAAAGAACAUCAACUAGUUAAUAUUGGAAACCUAACUUGUCUUCAAACAUUACCCAUAUUUUUUGUGGGAUCAGAAAGGGGGCAUUCGAUUAAGGAGUUAGGAUCCCUAGACGAACUGCGUGGAGAAUUGAAGAUAUGCGAUCUUGAGGGUGUUAGAGACGAACAAGAGGCUAAAGGAGCAAAUCUGCACCGUAAAGAAAAAUUAUUCAAGGUGAUAUUUGAUUUUGGACGGUGUGAUCAAAAAUUAUUCAAGGUGAUAUUUGAUUUUGGACGGUGUGAUAGUGGGAGUAGUGGUUAUAACAGUGAGGAAGUGAUGGAAGGUCUCCAACCACACUCAAAGUUGCAAAGCUUAACUGUUUCGCUUUACAGAGGUGAAAGCUUUCCCUCGUGGAUGUUAAGACCUGUUGGUGAUUCUAAUACUGAUUUGUUUUUGCUUAACAAUUUGAUGGAGCUGAAGUUUUUCUAUUGCAAGAACUGUGAAAGUCUUCCACCUCUGGGCCAAUUGCACAAUCUCCAGUAUCUUGAGUUGAUAAUGCUGACGAAAGUGAAACGCAUGGAUAAUGAAUUUUAUUGCAACGAAAGUGUUGAUGGUAUGAAUAAGGUGAUCAAGGUGUUUCCUGCAUUGAAAAAAUUCACCUUAUGGUUUAUGGACAGUCUAGAAGAAUGGACAGGAAUGGCGGAAACAAAGAUGAUCAUGUUUCCUUGCUUGGAGCGGCUGGAGAUUACGACGUGUCCCUUGUUGAAAAGUGUUCCACUAACGGGACAAUGUUCAUCUCUUGAAAAGCUUCGCAUUUGCGAUUGUGAAAAAUUAAGCAAGAUUGGAGAUGGAUUAUCUACCUCCACUUGUCUCAAAGAAUUAGAUCUAGCAGAUUGUCCUGUUUUAAGUUCGAUCCCAAAUUUGGAAGGAUUUUCCUCUCUUCAAUAUCUGUCAGUUCGAUGUUGCAAGAAAUUGGAAGUUCUUCCAAUAACUGGAGGAUGUUCAUCUCUUGAAAAGCUUCGCAUUUGCGAUUGUGAAAAAUUAAGCAAGAUUGGAGAUGGAUUAUCUACCUCCACUUGUCUCAAAGAAUUAGAUCUAGCAGAUUGUCCUGAUUUAAGUUCGAUCCCAAAUUUGGAAGGAUUUUCCUCUCUUCAAUAUCUGUCAGUUCGAUGUUGCAAGAAAUUGGAAGUUCUUCCAAUAACCGGAGGAUGUUCAUCUCUUGAAAAGCUUCGCAUUUACGAUUGUGAAAAAUUAAGCAAGAUUGGAGAUGUAUUAUCUACCUCCACUUGUCUCAAAGAAUUAGAUCUAGUCAAUUGUCCUGAUUUAAGUUCGAUCCCAAAUUUGGAAGGAUUUUCCUCUCUUCAAGAUCUGUCAGUUUGGAGGUGCCUCAAAUUGGAAGUUCUUCCAAUAACCGGAGGAUGUUCAUCUCUUGAAGAGCUUUCCAUUUACAGUUAGUGAAAAAUUAAGCAAGAUUGGAGAUGGAUUAUCUACCUCCACUUGUCUCAAAGAAUUAGAUCUAGCAGAUUGUCCUGAUUUAAGUUCGAUCCCAAAUUUGGAAGGAUUUUCCUCUCUUCAAUAUCUGUCAGUUCCAUGUUGCAAGAAAUUGGAAGUUCUUCCAAUAACCGGAGGAUGUUCAUCUCUUGAAAAGCUUCGCAUUUGCGAUUGUGAAAAAUUAAGCAAGAUUGGAGAUGGAUUAUCUACCUCCACUUGUCUCGAAGAAUUACAUCUAGC
RNAcentral lists this long non-coding RNA (5118 nucleotides) under Gossypium barbadense (sea-island cotton). RNAcentral describes it as "long non-coding RNA (GBAR_LNC015175)". The record is from RNAcentral. Lineage: Eukaryota; Viridiplantae; Streptophyta; Magnoliopsida; Malvales; Malvaceae.